Molecule: RNA transcript, 2938 nt
Organism: Homo sapiens (human)
Lineage: Eukaryota; Metazoa; Chordata; Mammalia; Primates; Hominidae
Gene: CARS2
Gene name: cysteinyl-tRNA synthetase 2, mitochondrial
Exons: 10
Source: RefSeq, marked reviewed
AGUCGUAGGCGCUGGCCGCUGACAUGUUGAGGACUACGCGCGGCCCAGGCCUGGGCCCCCCGCUGCUCCAGGCCGCGCUGGGCCUUGGGCGGGCUGGGUGGCACUGGCCUGCGGGCCGGGCGGCGAGCGGGGGGCGCGGGCGGGCCUGGCUGCAGCCCACGGGCCGGGAGACGGGUGUGCAGGUGUACAACAGCCUCACCGGGAGGAAGGAACCCCUAAUCGUGGCGCACGCCGAAGCCGCCUCCUGGUAUAGCUGUGGACCAACUGUAUAUGAUCAUGCGCACCUUGGCCAUGCUUGCUCAUAUGUUAGAUUUGAUAUCAUUCGAAGGAUCCUAACCAAGGUUUUUGGAUGCAGCAUAGUCAUGGUGAUGGGUAUUACAGAUGUAGAUGAUAAAAUCAUCAAAAGAGCCAAUGAGAUGAAUAUUUCCCCCGCUUCCCUCGCCAGUCUUUAUGAGGAAGACUUCAAGCAGGACAUGGCAGCCCUGAAGGUUCUCCCACCCACGGUGUACCUGAGGGUAACCGAAAAUAUUCCUCAGAUAAUUUCUUUCAUUGAAGGAAUCAUUGCUCGUGGGAACGCUUAUUCAACGGCAAAAGGCAAUGUCUACUUCGAUCUGAAGUCUAGAGGAGACAAGUAUGGCAAAUUGGUCGGCGUGGUCCCUGGUCCAGUCGGAGAGCCAGCGGACUCUGACAAGCGUCAUGCCAGUGACUUCGCCCUGUGGAAGGCGGCCAAACCCCAGGAGGUGUUCUGGGCCUCUCCCUGGGGACCCGGGAGGCCGGGCUGGCACAUCGAGUGCUCUGCCAUCGCUAGUAUGGUAUUUGGAAGUCAACUGGAUAUCCAUUCAGGUGGGAUAGAUUUAGCUUUUCCACAUCAUGAAAACGAAAUUGCACAGUGCGAAGUCUUUCAUCAGUGCGAGCAGUGGGGAAAUUAUUUUCUGCAUUCUGCUGUCUGCUCUCAGAAGUGGAUGCAACACCAUGAGUUAAGCAACACCUCGAACCCAGCAGUUUUGGAAUUCACUUGGAUGCACUGGAAGAGUCGUAUUUCCAAGUUUACAGGGUCACGAUUAACUAGUCUUAUUACCUUUUGGGGAUGGACAGCUAAGGUAUUUGAGAUGAAGAAAGAUAAAGAGUGUUUGGUAGUGAUAGGAUUUGGAGAUGCAAACUUCGACAUCUAAAAUACAGAAAAUUAACAAAUACUAUCUUUUGAAGUCCUUGAAUUGGGAAAUUAGGAUGUCACAGUAAAGUGACAUUAAGUGCAGAAGUGCUCUGGUUUUCUGGUCCGCAGCAGAGUUCACUUGGGUUUCUUCGUGAAAGUACAUGAGGCUGAUUGCCCCGAAGUCACUUCCUGCAGCAUGUCCUUCACCCCGGGCUUACCCUGUUGAGUCGGGGAACCCAGCAGGCGGCUCUGCCCCUACCAUUACCUACUAUGUCUGCCUCUCACAGUGCCCCAGUUUUUGUCUAAAAAUGAAGCAGAAACAAAGCUGGCUGCGUGGCUGUUUGAGGACUUAGGAGCUGUUGUCCAGCACCCCAUACCAUUUCCCUGGGGAGGGCUCAGCACUAGCUGAAAUCCACUUUAUUCCGGUGUCGGUGGAGUUUCUAAUCAGAACAAACGCCUGCCGCCCUCACUUCCGUUUCAGCUGGCGCUCACAUGGGAAGGGGGUGCACGCUGCCCAGUGGUGGAAUAUUUAAGGCAUCGCCCCUCAGGGAGCCGAGCACUGAUUUCCACAGCCGGGGGCCUGCACUCCACUUUUGACCAUGGGGAAGGAGGUCUCUCUUCCGUGGCCCAAGGACUUCUGAAUUGUGUUCUUGGAGAGGAAGCGUGCUGGGAGCCCAGAUAGUGGGGCUGAGACACUGUGUCUCAGGCACAGAGGUAGUCGUGUCCCUUGUCCCAGAUGAAGAAAGAUAAAGAGUGUUUGGUAGUGAUAGAUUUGGAGAUGCAAACUUUGACAUCUGAAAUACAGGAAAUUAACAAAUACUAGUUUUUGAAACCCUUGAAUUGGGAAAUUAAGAUGUCACAGUAAGGUGACAUUAAAUGCAGAAGUGCUCCGGUUUUCUGGUCCGCAGCAGGGUUCACUUGGGUUUCUUCAUGAAAGUAAAUAGAUGAGGCUGAUUGCCCCGAAGUCACUUCCUCGUUGACUUCGUUCAGGGCUCAGUUCAGCGCUCCCUGAACUGUCUGAGGAGCUGGAGUUGCUCCCUCCGCAGGCACGUUUCUGUCUGCAGGUUUAUCCUGUUCAGUAGGUCAGGGUUUGUUACUGACAACCAUGACCUGCUGUGAGCCCUUCUGCGAGUGUGGAGCUGGGGGGCAAGAAGGGCAGCCUUAGCUGUGCCAACGCUUCGUCCUGUCAGGGGAUGAAAUAAUACCCAGGUCAUCAAAGUCUGUGAAACCAACUGCAACAGGACCUCUGAUUCUUCCCACUCAGAGACCCACAAGUGCCACUCUGUUUUUGGACAACGGUCAACAAGCUUCACCGCCAAGUGCCUGAUUUGUCAAAUGAGAGCUUUGUCGUUUCUUCAGAUGCUGACCAGUAUCUGAAUUCAGUAUCUCUGAAUUACAGGAGAGGAGAAAAUAGAUGAAAUACUGCUGUCAGUACCACGGUUGCUGGCUCUUGUUUAGCUUCUGAGUCAGCUGGGGCACCCCUGCCAUCUGCUCUCAGUGUGGGGCUGGGUGUCCCUGCACCGUGGAACAAGGGCAGGUCCUGUCUUCCCGGAAGGCCCAGCACGGGUGAAGAUUUGGGGGCAGAUUUAUACCAACAUACACUGGUCUAUACAUUGGAUAUGUGCAGGUUCCCAUUCGUUUCCUGGGGAGCCAUGUGUCCCUGAGGCCAGAGAGUCUCCUCACCCAGCUCAGACUGAAUGCUUUUGUUUUUGUUUCAGGGCAUUUGCACGCCAAAGGCAAAGAAGAAAAAAUGUCCAAAUCAUUAAAGAACUACAUUACUAUUAA